GAAGAGACUAGCCUAAGGCAUGUUUUGAGACCUUGAAAAUGGUCAAAUUUUGGAAAUUUACUACCAAAGAUAACAAAGCCAAAUCAUGACUCAGAUGGUGAACAUUCAGCUUUAGGUUAAUGAAGCUUUUGCUGUCAGCUGUUGUAUUGCUGUGAGAAAUUU
Molecule: long non-coding RNA, 162 nt
Organism: Eptesicus fuscus (big brown bat)
Lineage: Eukaryota; Metazoa; Chordata; Mammalia; Chiroptera; Vespertilionidae
Exons: 3
Source: RefSeq, a predicted model, not a curated record